AUUCGAGUUUCCCAGUUUGGGAAUAACACAGCUUCUUCGUCGUUCCAAUCAAACCAGGAUGAAUCACUUUGUGAAAAGCUUGAUUUGGAUACACAAAGUGGUGGAGAAUCACCAGGAAGUUGAAUAAAUCUCAUAGGAGUUGGCAUGAAGAAGUUAUCCCACUUUCAAAUCGGGUGAUUCCAGUUUCCCAGUUCGGGAAUAGCACAGCUUCUUCUUCGUUCCAAUCAAACCAGGAUGAAUCAAUUUGUGAAAAGCUUGAUUUGGAUACAUAAACUGGUGGAGAAUCACCUGGAAGUUGAAUAAAUCUCAUAGGAGUUGGCUUGAAGAAUUUAUCCCACUUUCAAAUCAGGUGAUUCUAGUUUCUCAGUUUGGGAAUAGCACAGCUUCUUCGUCGUUCCAAUCAAACCAGGAUGAAUCACUUUGUAAGAAGCUUGAUUUGGAUACAUAAAGUGGUGGAGAAUCACCAGGAAGUUGAAUAAAUCUCAUAGAAGUUGGCAUGAAGAAUUUAUCCCACUUUCAAAUUAGGUGAUUCCAGUUUCCCAGUUUGGGAAUAGGACAGCUUGUUCGUCGUUCCAAUCAAGCCCGGAUGAAUCACUUGGUGAGAAGCUUGAUUUGGAUACAUAAAGUGGUGUAGAAUCACCAGGAAGUUGAAUAAAUCUCAUAGGAGUGGGGAUAAAGAAGUUAUCCCACUUUCAAAUAAGGUGAUUCAUGUUUCCCACUUUGGGAAUAGGAUAGCUUUUUCGUCGUUCAAAUCAAACCAGGAUGAAUCACCUUGUAAGAAGCUUGAUUUGGAUACAUAAAGUUGUGGAGAAUCAUCAGGAAGUUGAAUAAAUCUCAUAGGAGUUGGCAAGAAGAAGUUAUCCCACUUUCAAAUCAGGUGAUUCCAGUUUCCCAGUUUGGGAAUAGCACAGCUUCUUCGUCGUUCCAAUCAAACCAUGAUGAAUCACUUUGUGAGAAGCUUUAUUUGGAUACAUAAAGUGGUGGAGAAUCACCAGGAAGUUUAAUAAAUCUCGUAGGAGUUUGGAUGAAGAAGUUAUCUCACUUUCAAAUCAGGUGAUUCCAGUUUCCUAGUUUGGGAAUAGCACAGCUUCUUCGUCGUUCCAAUCAAACCAGGAUGAAUCACUUUGUAAGAAGCUUGAUUUGGAUACAUAAUGUUGUGGAGAAUCAUCAGGAAGAUGAAUAAAUCUCAUAGGAGUUGGCAAGAAGAAGUUAUCCCACUUUCAAAUCAUGUGAUUCCAGUUUCCCAGUUUGGGAAUAGCACAGCUUCUUCGUCGUUCCAGUCAAACCAUGAUGAAUCACUUUGUGAGAAGCUUGAUUUGGAUACAUAAAGUGGUGGAGAAUCACCAGGAAGUUGAAUAAAUCUCAUAGGAGUUGGCAAGAAGAAGUUAUCCCACUUUCAAAUCAGGUGAUUCCAGUUUCCCAGUUUGGGAAUAGCACAGCUUCUUCGUCGUUCCAAUCAAACCAUGAUGAAUCACUUUGUGAAAAGCUUGAUUUGGAUACAUAAAGUGGUGGAGAAUCACCAGGAAGUUUAAUAAACCCAUAGGAGUUGGGAUGAAGAAGUUAUCCCACUUUCAAAUAACGUGAUUCCAGUUUCCCAGUUUGGGAAUAGCACAGCUUGUUCGUCGUUCCAAUCAAACCAGGAUGAAUCACUUUUUGAGAAGCUUGAUUUGGAUACAUAAAGUGGUGGAGAAUCACCAGGAAGUUGAAUAAAUCUCAUAGGAGCUGGCAAGAAGAAGUUAUCCCACUUUCAAAUCAGGUGAUUCCAGUUUCCCAGUUUCGGAAUAACACAGCUUCUUCGUCGGUCCAAUCAAACCAGGAUUAAUCACUUUGCGAGAAGCUUGAUUUGGAUACAUAAAGUGGUGGAGAAUCACCAGGAAGUUGAAUAAAUCUCAUAGGAGCUGGCAAGAAGAAGUUAUCCCACUUUCAAAUCAGGUGAUUCCAGUUUCCUAGUUUGGGAAUAGCACAGCUUCUUCGUCGUUCCAAUCAAACCAGGAUGAAUCACUUUGUAAGAAGCUUGAUUUGGAUACAUAAAGUGGUGGAGAAUCACCAGGAAGUUGAAUAAAUCUCAUAGGAGUUGGCAUGAAGAAUUUAUCCCACUUUCAAAUCAGGUGAUUCCAGUUUCCAAGUUUGGGAAUAGCAUAGCUUAUUCGUCGUUCCAAUAAAACCAGGAUGAAUCACUUUGUGAGAGGCUUGAUUUGGAUACAUAAAGUGGUGGAGAAUCACCAGGAAGUUGAAUAAAUCUCAUAGGAGCUGGCAUGAAGAAUUUAUCCCACUUUCAAAUCAGGUGAUUCCAGUUUCCUAGUUUGGGAAUAGCACAGCUUCUUCGUCGUUCCAAUCAAACCAGGAUGAAUCACUUUGUAAGAAGCUUGAUUUGGAUACAUAAAGUGGUGGAGAAUCACCAGGAAGUUGAAUAAAUCUCAUAGGAGUUGGCAUGAAGAAUUUAUCCCACUUUCAAAUCAGGUGAUUCCAGUUUCCAAGUUUGGGAAUAGCAUAGCUUAUUCGUCGUUCCAAUAAAACCAGGAUGAAUCACUUUGUGAGAAGCUUGAUUUGGACGGAAUGAAGAAGUUAUCUCACUUUCAAAUCAGGUGAUUCCAGUUUCCCAGUUUGAGAAUAGCACAUCUUCUUCGUCGUUCCAAUCUAACCAGGAUGAAUCACUUUGUGAGAAGCUUCAUUUGGAUACAUAAAGUGGUGGAGAAUCACCAGGAAGUUGAAUAAAUCUCAUAGGAGUCGGAAUGAAGAAGUUAUCCCACUUUCAAAUCAAGUGCUUCCAGUUUCCCAGUUUGGGAAUUGGACAGCUUCUUCGUCGUUCCAAUCAAACCAGGAUGAAUCUCUUUGUGAGAAGCUUGAUUUGGAUACAUAAAGUGGUGGAGAAUCACCAGGAAGUUGAAUAAAUUUCAUAGGAGUUGGGAUGAAGAAGUUAUCCCACUUUCAAAUCAGGUGCUUCCUGUUUCCCAGUUUGGGAAUAACACAGCUUCUUCGU
This 2980-nucleotide long non-coding RNA is filed under the name Brassica napus (rape). RNAcentral describes it as "long non-coding RNA (BNAP_LNC012465)". Lineage: Eukaryota; Viridiplantae; Streptophyta; Magnoliopsida; Brassicales; Brassicaceae. The record is from RNAcentral.